AGAGAAAUGAACAAAGGCAUGGAAACAAUCAGAAAUCAUCUGAGUGACAAGCAGAGUGAGUUACAGCAGCUGCAGUCACAGUGUGAGGUGUUUCAAAGAAAAAUUCAAGAGUCGACAGAAAAACUAACAUUGAGAGACGACCAAAUCAAAGCCUUGGUCAAAACAUUAAAAGCUGGAAAAGAUGAUAAAGAAGAGAUAUUUAUGAUAAAGAAGAAUGAAGUAUUGCAGCUUCAAAACCAAAUACAAACAUCUUGAACAGGCUGUGAGAAAGCUACUGAAGGAUCGUGAGCUUGGCUGCUGAAGAUCAGUUUGAGCGAGAAGCAGUGGAAACCGGUCAAAGCCGAGUUUGACCAGGUGUCUGCUGUACACUCAAACACCAAAGCCGAGCUGGACAGUCUAGAGCGCCAAACCUUUCUGGAGGAGCCGAAGAACACGGGGUUUGUCAAACACUAUGGCGUUCAAACAUGGGACAGCCACAGUAGUGAUGGGUAAUGUGCACAGGGAUAUAGCUUCCUGUGAACAGAGGAAGUCUCAUCACGCACAGAUUCACUCAGCACUGUUCACUCAACGCCAGGCUGUCAUGAAGGACACAGAGGGUAAUCUACAGGAAGCCCUAAAAGCCAAUCUGAGGUUAUCUCAAGAGUACAGAGAGCUGCAGAAAGCUCUGAUGAUUGCCAGUCAAGAAGCCGUUUGUGUUUUUACAUAAGAAACAGAGCAGAGGCCUUCAUCCAAGAUCACAAGCAGCUUUCUUUGUUGCAGAAGAGGAUGCACAAAGCCAUGCUAAAAUACUUCAAACACCGCAGCGUCUACAGCAAGGCAGAGCUGGCCCGCUUCCAGACCCUCUCCAACCAGAACAACCAGAAAAUGAAAGCCCUCCAGAAACCACUAGCAAAAGUUGUCCACCCAUCUAUUCAUGAGGAACCUGAAGGUUGUGGAUUGCAAAAACUAGUUCCACUGAUUUGUCCCUGUGUCUUCCUGAGGAUCAAAUGACUGCUUCUGAGCAGCUCUACUGAAGUAUAGAGAUGGGGGAAGAGUAAAACGAAAUAGAGAAAGCGUGCAAGCCUGUCAUCUUGAAACGCCGCUGCAAGAUUGGGCACUCAGUUCCGGGUUAUGCAAGUUUACACCAGGGAUAGCAUAAUUGACAAUUGCUAACAACAGAGAGCAGGGUGGAGAGUUGUGAAUGGCCAGUAAUAAUUGGAGCGAACGCCCACUGCGCCGCUCUCGGGGGACCGUAAUCCAAGAUCUUGUUUCUGAUAUAAUUGUUAGUCAGAAAAUUUCUGCAUGGCUAGGCCAGCUCAGUUCCCAAGCUGGUUGACAGUGCAAGGCAGUUUAAUAGAAAAACUGGUUGCUGAGGUUUUUUAAAACAGGCACGCACUGAACCCAUGCGCAGGAGUGUGACACACACCGUCUUUCCCAUAUCUUUGUUUUAUCUUUCUCAAUCUUAUGUCUUGAGAAAUAAAAGUGUCUCAAAUGUCAGUGUUGCUCUUUCGUAGGAUUAAGGGAAUGGGACAAAGUUUGACUAGUACAGUAAAUGCCGCAACUAAACUGUUUUACAGACAAAAAGCAUCUUUCUCCAGUGAGUAUAUGUGUAUUCUGACAAAACAAAAUGUAAGAUUAUAUAUUUUAUAUUUUUCUAUUAAAUUUUAUCAUGACAUUAUAUGCAGUGCUGUUCAAAAGUUUAGGCUACCUAAGAUUUUUUUUUUUGAAAAAAGUCUCUUAUGCUCAC
Molecule: long non-coding RNA, 1726 nt
Organism: Cyprinus carpio carpio
Lineage: Eukaryota; Metazoa; Chordata; Actinopteri; Cypriniformes; Cyprinidae
Source: Ensembl